Molecule: unclassified non-coding RNA, 337 nt
Filed under: soil metagenome
Description: partial contains 5.8S ribosomal RNA, internal transcribed spacer 2, and large subunit ribosomal RNA
Rfam family: 5.8S ribosomal RNA (bases 1-120)
Source: RNAcentral
GAUGAAGAACGUAGCGAAAUGCGAUACGUAGUGUGAAUUGCAGAAUUCAGUGAAUCAUCGAAUCUUUGAACGCACAUUGCGCCCUUUGGUAUUCCAAAGGGCAUGCCUGUUCGAGCGUCAUUUGUACCCUCAAGCUUUGCUUGGUGUUGGGCGUCUUGUCUCCAGUCCGCUGGAGACUCGCCUUAAAGUCAUUGGCAGCCGGCCUACUGGUUUCGGAGCGCAGCACAAGUCGCACUCUUUUCCAGCCAAGGUCAGCGUCCAACAAGCCUUUUUUCAACUUUUGACCUCGGAUCAGGUAGGGAUACCCGCUGAACUUAAGCAUAUCAUAAGCGGAGGA